ACUUUACAAUGCGGGAAACCGUGAUAAGGGGACACCGAGUGCUAGCAUCAUAUGCUAGCUGUCCAGGCGUGUAAACUACGCCUGUUAGCAAGGGCCGGGCAAGACCGGUGCCAGCCGCCGCGGUAACACCGGCGGCCCGAGUGGUAAUCGUGAUUAUUGGGUCUAAAGGGUCCGUAGCCGGUUUGGUCAGUCCUCCGGGAAAUCUGAUAGCUUAACUAUUAGGCUUUCAGGAGAUACUGUCUGGCUCGAGGCCGGGAGAGGUGAGAGGUACUUCGAGGGGUAGGGUGAAAUCUU
Molecule: ribosomal RNA, 294 nt
Filed under: uncultured archaeon
Lineage: Archaea
Description: partial 16S ribosomal RNA
Rfam family: Archaeal small subunit ribosomal RNA
Source: RNAcentral